RNAcentral lists this small RNA (282 nucleotides) under Acinetobacter bereziniae. RNAcentral describes it as "5' ureB small RNA". It matches the Rfam family "5' ureB small RNA". Lineage: Bacteria; Pseudomonadati; Pseudomonadota; Gammaproteobacteria; Moraxellales; Moraxellaceae. The record is from RNAcentral.
UGUUUCGACUUGCUGCGGACAAAUCCAGUGGAUAUGUGUGUCUAUUCCCCCUGCUGUUAAUAUUUGCCCUUCACCCGCAAUAACUUCAGUUGCCGCACCUAGUGGAAUGGUAAUAUCUGGCUGAAUAUCAGGAUUACCUGCUUUGCCUAUCUUCCAGAUUCUACCAUUUUUUAAGCCAACAUCUGCUUUGAUAAUUCCCCACCAAUCGACAAUCAAAGCAUUGGUAAUCACGGUAUCAGCAACCUGAUCUGCCAACAGUUGUGACUGCCCCAUACCAUCACG